Long non-coding RNA from Sorex araneus (European shrew), 679 nucleotides. RefSeq lists it as uncharacterized. NCBI's taxonomy places the organism in Eukaryota, Metazoa, Chordata, Mammalia, Eulipotyphla, Soricidae. The record is from RefSeq and is a predicted model, not a curated record. The transcript is spliced from 3 exons.
GAGCCAGGAAAGCCUGAAGCUCUCUGUUUUGUGCUCUGACUGUAUGCUGCAAUCGUCAGAAGGGUUCUUCCUCCGGUCUUUAUGUUGCUCCAGACUUAUAAGACUGCUCCUUUUUUUGGACCAAAAAAUCUGCGAUAGAUGGCAAAGGCAUUUGGGGAGCUCUGGGGGAUUGUGACACGGGGCUCAUUCCAACUGGAGCUGUGGCCGUGCCUCUGCCCAUCAUCAGGGGAUGUCUGCAGGUUUCUGAAUCACCGAGAUGAAGAAGGGCUCAGCGAGACUGCCGGGAGGUGGAAGGAAGCCAAGUCUCACCCAUGCACUGAACACACAGCUGGACCCCAGCCCGGAGCAGUCCCCCCCGCCGAGACAUCACAGCCCCUUCUGCAACUCUUGGGGCCUGCAGACCCCUCCCCACCACCUGUCUGACUGUGGCUCUAAGACUUCCUGUUGCCCCUGCAUGCUUUUCUGCCAGUGCUACUUCCUGUCACCCUGUGUCCUCCUCUGUCAGUGCUACUUCUUGUUGUCCCCCCGACCCCCCUGCCCUCCUCUGCUAGAGCUGCCACGCAGGUGGAUAAACUCCUGAGCUCCAGGGGUCUUGAGAACUGCAUGAAUUGCUUGAGGUUUGCACACAAAACCCAGAGGAUUGAGGACUGAAAAUUGUUGUAGAGUUUAAGUAGAUGAA